This 253-nucleotide ribosomal RNA is filed under the name uncultured bacterium. Its description in RNAcentral is "partial 16S ribosomal RNA". It matches the Rfam family "Bacterial small subunit ribosomal RNA", at positions 524 to 776 of the family's 1533-position model. The record is from RNAcentral.
UACGAAGGGGGCUAGCGUUGCUCGGAAUCACUGGGCGUAAAGCGCACGUAGGCGGCUUCCUAAGUCGGUGGUGAAAUCCUGGAGCUCAACUCCAGAACUGCCUUCGAUACUGGGAAGCUCGAGUCCGGGAGAGGUGAGUGGAACUGCGAGUGUAGAGGUGAAAUUCGUAGAUAUUCGCAAGAACACCAGUGGCGAAGGCGGCUCACUGGCCCGGUACUGACGCUGAGGUGCGAAAGCGUGGGGAGCAAACAGG